RNAcentral lists this ribosomal RNA (427 nucleotides) under uncultured bacterium. RNAcentral describes it as "partial 16S ribosomal RNA". It matches the Rfam family "Bacterial small subunit ribosomal RNA", at positions 355 to 774 of the family's 1533-position model. The record is from RNAcentral.
UGGGGAAUAUUGGACAAUGGGCGAAAGCCUGAUCCAGCCAUGCCGCGUGUGUGAAGAAGGUCUUCGGAUUGUAAAGCACUUUAAGUUGGGAGGAAGGGCAUUAACCUAAUACGUUAGUGUUUUGACGUUACCGACAGAAUAAGCACCGGCUAACUCUGUGCCAGCAGCCGCGGUAAUACAGAGGGUGCAAGCGUUAAUCGGUAUUACUGGGCGUAAAGCGCGCGUAGGUGGUUUGUUAAGUUGGAUGUGAAAUCCCCGGGCUCAACCUGGGAACUGCAUUCAAAACUGACUGACUAGAGUAUGGUAGAGGGUGGUGGAAUUUCCUGUGUAGCGGUGAAAUGCGUAGAUAUAGGAAGGAACACCAGUGGCGAAGGCGACCACCUGGACUAAUACUGACACUGAGGUGCGAAAGCGUGGGGAGCAAACA